UAGUGUUUUGUUAAAAGUAUUUCCUGCCCUAUGAUUAUUUAAAUGGCUGCAGUAUUUUGACUGUGCAAAGGUAGCAUAAUAAUUAGUCUUUUUAUUGGAGACUGGUAUGAAUGGAUUAAUGAGAAAUUAAUUUUAUUUUUAUUAAUAUUUUAAUUUUAUUUUUGAGUAAAAAAGCUUAAUUAUUUUAUUGGGACGAUAAGACCCUAUAGAACUUUAUUUAUUGAUAAAGUCUUUUUUAUUAGGUUUUUUUUAAUUUUAAUUUUAUUUAAUAAAUUUUGUUGGGGUGACAGGUAAAUUUUAACUUUACUUAAUUAUUUCAUUUAUUUAUGAUUUUUUUUGAUCCUAAAUUAAUAGAUUAUAAGAUUAAGUUACCUUAGGGAUAACAGCGUAAUUUUAGUGGGGAGUUCUUAUCUAUACUAAAGUUUGCGACCUCGAUGUUGAAUUAAGAUAAUUAUAGGGGGUAG
RNAcentral lists this ribosomal RNA (464 nucleotides) under Pagaronia tredecimpunctata. Its description in RNAcentral is "partial 16S ribosomal RNA". Lineage: Eukaryota; Metazoa; Arthropoda; Insecta; Hemiptera; Cicadellidae. The record is from RNAcentral.